CGGGGAUUAGCUCAGCUGGGAGAGCGCCUGCUUUGCACGCAGGAGGUCAUCGGUUCGAUCCCGUUAUCCUCCA
RNAcentral lists this transfer RNA (73 nucleotides) under Latilactobacillus curvatus. Its description in RNAcentral is "tRNA-Ala". It matches the Rfam family "tRNA". From Rfam's summary of the family: Transfer RNA (tRNA) molecules are approximately 80 nucleotides in length. Their secondary structure includes four short double-helical elements and three loops (D, anti-codon, and T loops). Lineage: Bacteria; Bacillati; Bacillota; Bacilli; Lactobacillales; Lactobacillaceae. The record is from RNAcentral.